RNAcentral lists this ribosomal RNA (377 nucleotides) under uncultured bacterium. RNAcentral's name for it is "bacterial SSU rRNA". It matches the Rfam family "Bacterial small subunit ribosomal RNA", at positions 523 to 898 of the family's 1533-position model. The record is from RNAcentral.
AUACGGAGGGUGCAAGCGUUGUUCGGAUUUAUUGGGCGUAAAGCGCAUGUAGGUGGUAUUGUAAGUCCGAUGUGAAAUCCUCGAGCUCAACUUGAGAACUGCAUUGGAUACUGCUUUACUAGAGUGUCGGAGAGGGUACUGGAAUUCCUGGUGUAGAGGUGAAAUUCGUAGAUAUCGGGAAGAACACCGGAGGCGAAGGCGGGUACCUGGACGAUAACUGACACUGAGAUGCGAAAGCGUGGGGAGCAAACAGGAUUAGAUACCCUGGUAGUCCACGCCGUAAACGAUGAGUGCUAGAUGUUGUGGGCAUUAACCCCUGCAGUAUCGCAGCUAACGCGUUAAGCACUCCGCCUGGGGAGUACGGUCACAAGGCUAAA